Molecule: non-coding RNA, 122 nt
Organism: Saxophila tyrrhenica
Lineage: Eukaryota; Fungi; Ascomycota; Dothideomycetes; Mycosphaerellales; Extremaceae
Source: the annotation of a RefSeq genome assembly
GGUGAGGUGGCCGAGUGGUUAUGGCGCUAGUUUCAGGCUGUGAAAACUGUGCUGAAGAAUGGUUUCUCCCAAUACUAGUGGGUAAUUCCGCGUGGGUUCGAGUCGUAAGCACACUCCAAUCG